RNAcentral lists this small RNA (103 nucleotides) under Caballeronia glathei. RNAcentral's name for it is "Burkholderia glathei Burkholderia sRNA Bp1_Cand684_SIPHT". It matches the Rfam family "Burkholderia sRNA Bp1_Cand684_SIPHT". The record is from Rfam by way of RNAcentral. Lineage: Bacteria; Pseudomonadati; Pseudomonadota; Betaproteobacteria; Burkholderiales; Burkholderiaceae.
AAGAAAAUGACUGCUGCCCCGCACAGGGGCGAAGCUAAUAGACCAAUAACAAAGCAAGUUUCACAGGAAGCGCAAAACCAUCAAACGGUGUUAAAAGAAGCGC